RNAcentral lists this long non-coding RNA (899 nucleotides) under Calidris pugnax (ruff). Its description in RNAcentral is "lncRNA (ENSCPUG00000001167.1)". Lineage: Eukaryota; Metazoa; Chordata; Aves; Charadriiformes; Scolopacidae. The record is from RNAcentral.
GAAGCUCUUCUGGGAAUAAUCUCAGAUUUGAUGAAUUGUCAGUUGUGACCAUCUCUCUUCUUCUCUAUGAAAGCCCUGUUCUCACUCUCAACUCUAAACGACAGCUUCCAAUACUUUCCAGAAGUCUACGGUAUGAUUGCCUUAGUUAUCUUACUGAUGCAUUAGAGUGAGACCUAGAUUUUGGGCAACAGUCUUUAUCCACUGGUGGAAUAAGACAACACUGAAAGUGUUGUGAUGGUCUUAAUUUGGGAUUCUUCUUCCCCUACAAGUACAAGAGAUUGUAAUAGUUCUGUGUUUCAUCUUUCUGCGUUUCCCAUACAUACUGGUUCAUGCCAAUUAUUGGUUCACAGUUUGUAAACAAGUAGAUAUGAGUUACAUGUAUGCUAGGAAUUAAUUUCAUUAACACACUGAGUGCUUUUUUUCCAUUACAUCUGUCAAGAAGGAAUAUUUUCCUAUAACUAAUGACCACAGUUGUGCUGAUGGGACAAAAAUCUGAUGCCUUCAGUGAAGGAUUAUUAAUGAACCCUGCUUUAAGAAGUCUGGAUGGCUGUUACUCCUAGAAGCAAACACUGGAUAUUUUUUACUUUUGUUGGCAAUAUUUGUAUAUAUUUGCAUUACCCUAGAAAUAAAUUCCUUUCGCGAUUUGACUGAAUGGAUCAUCUCUUCUGCUAGGAGGAAAUUAAGGCACAAAUUUCCCUGUAGCCAGAGGACCCACCCACUGUGCCGGCUGGAGAUGGAGGAAAGGUGGAAUGGAAGCACCAAGGGCUAGGUACACUGUUUCUCAGAAAUACGAGAAGACACCAGGCUCAGUUGCAGUCCUAAACACACUUUUGCACCGAUUUCCCCAGUUUCUUGGCUGCGUAUUUAAGGGAAAGGAAACCAUUUGUAUGCUGCACUAA